This 473-nucleotide ribosomal RNA is filed under the name Lamellibrachia anaximandri. RNAcentral's name for it is "partial 16S ribosomal RNA". It matches the Rfam family "Bacterial large subunit ribosomal RNA", at positions 1927 to 2613 of the family's 2925-position model. The record is from RNAcentral. Lineage: Eukaryota; Metazoa; Annelida; Polychaeta; Sabellida; Siboglinidae.
AUGGCCGCGGUACCCUGACCGUGCAAAGGUAGCAUAAUCACUUGCCCCUUAAUUAGGGGCUGGCAUGAAAGGACACACGAAAGCUUCCCUGUCUCACAAUAACAAAUAAAAAUUAAUCUUCAAGUGAAAAAGCUUGAAUAAAAUUGCAGGACAAGAAGACCCCGUUGAGCUUUAUUCUCUAUAGACUAAAUCAAAUAUUAAAUACAUCAUAAACCUAAAAAGAAUUUAGUUGGGGUGACUAAGGAACACCGAAAACUUCCUUUUAUUAAUUAGGAUCAUUCUCCAUACAAAUUGACCCAUUACACAUGAUCAAAAAAAUAAGCUACCACAGGGAUAACAGGCUAAUCUUUCUCAAGAGCCCAAAUUGUCAGAAAGGAUUGGCACCUCGAUGUUGGCUUAGGGGCCCCUAAUGGUGCAGAAGCCAUAAAUGGUAGGUUUGUUCAACCUUUAAAACCCUACGUGAUCUGAGUUCA